GAAACCCCCCCAGCGUCAGCAACAUGAGUCUGUGGCUGAGCCUCGCUUUCUUCCUAGCGGCCCUUCCGGGUGCCCGGUCCCAGGUCCAGCUGGUGGAGUCCGGAGGAGGGAUUCAAACCCCCGGGGGAUCUCUCCGCCUCGCCUGCCAAGCCUCCGGAUUCACCUUCAGCAGCUACUUCAUGGACUGGGUCCGCCAGGCUCCGGGGAAAGGGCUGGAGUGGGUCGCACAGAUCCGCAAUCCUGCUUCUAGCUCAGCAGCAUAUUACAGUGAUGCGGUUAAAGGGCGAUUCACCAUCUCCAGGGACGAGUCCCGCAGCUCGGUGUAUCUGCAGAUGAACAGCCUGAGAGCGGAGGACACCGCCCGGUAUUACUGUGCGAGAGACACAGCGAUAUGAAAUCCACUGCGCUUAGCACAAAAACCUCCAGCGCGAAGCCCCCUCCCUCUCGGUGCCCCCAGCCACUGCCUGCACAGAGCGGAACUCGGAGUGUAAAGUCCCCAGUC
Mauremys reevesii (Reeves's turtle) is the source of this 502-nucleotide non-coding RNA. The record is from the annotation of a RefSeq genome assembly. NCBI's taxonomy places the organism in Eukaryota, Metazoa, Chordata, Testudines, Geoemydidae.